ACACUUACCCCAUGAGGGAGAUCACAUGAUCAUGAAUGUGUUUUUUCCCAGGGUCAGUCUUAUCCACUGUGUUCUAGGUAUGUUUAUCCCUGUAAGUUCUUCAAAGAUAGGAACAUUGGCUUGCACCCUGUGAUGGUGAAUACUGUAUUUGUGCUCUUCCCUG
Non-coding RNA from Arvicanthis niloticus (Nile rat), 163 nucleotides. NCBI's taxonomy places the organism in Eukaryota, Metazoa, Chordata, Mammalia, Rodentia, Muridae. The record is from RefSeq and is a predicted model, not a curated record.